This is an RNA transcript of Arachis duranensis, 1576 nucleotides long. It is a transcript of the gene named RING-H2 finger protein ATL66, with no coding region annotated. The transcript has 4 exons. NCBI's taxonomy places the organism in Eukaryota, Viridiplantae, Streptophyta, Magnoliopsida, Fabales, Fabaceae. The record is from RefSeq and is a predicted model, not a curated record.
UCUCACACUUGCUUCUAACUUCACUUCCACUUCCUCUCCGUUCUGAUGCUCCACCACUCUCGUUGCAUCUCUCUUACGCCACUCGCCGCCGCCACGACACCAUGUCAACACAACACGAUUCUCGCUCUAUAAACUGGCACUACACUGAGCUAGAUGACAAAGACCUUGAAAUCCGUGGCAAAACACUCUUCUUCGUCAUCGUUCUCUUCUCCAUUAUACUCCUCACCACUGUCUUCUUCCUCUACACGCGCUGGGUCUGCCGCUACAACCACCACCACCGCUCCUCCGCCGCCCACGCGCGCCACGCGCCGCAGUCAUCACUUCCUUCCCAGGGUCUUGACCAGGCGUCCAUAAAGAAACUUCCGAUCAUCCUCCAUCAGGCGCCAGCGGAGCCCCACGGCGGCGCGUGGGAGGAGACGGAGUGUUGCAUCUGCCUGGGCGAGUUCGUCGACGGCGAGAAGCUGAAGGUUCUUCCGGCGUGUGAACACUAUUUCCAUUGUGAAUGCGUUGAUAAGUGGCUAAUGCAACAUUCUAGUUGCCCACUUUGUAGGGCUUCACUCAAACUUGAAUCUUCGUUACCAAAGAUUUUGAUUCAAGAACCUCCCAUUAGAAUUGACAUCCAAUUUUAAUGGAGCGGAGCAUAGCGGCGGAAAAUUGGGAGCCUUUCAUCUUGCCGCUGCAAAACAAGGCUGCAGAAGAAGGAUCCCUUCGUGUGCCGCAACAUCAACUGCGAUUGCAUCAAAAAACGCCGUUAGAAACUCGUGAAGAGUCCUUAGUAGCGCGAAACACUACCGUCGCUGCUCUACCGUGCCACUGGUGUCGAUCCAUCGCCAUCAAUAUUUUGCCUCAUCCACAGUUCCUGAAACCCAUACUCCUUCAGUCAAGGUGUGCGAAAUUCCUAACUUCUGCUCUACCUUGCGCCUCUGUUUGGGUUGUCAAGUCGCACGGCUGCCUUCCGUGCUUCUCCCACCGGCGUUAAAAUUUUCCAUCUCCUUGAUCGUGCGUGAAACUGUUACACCAUCAUCCACCAUGCAAAGGCAAAGCUAUCACGACCUCUCCCCUAUCACUGGAAAGAAUUGAGGAGAUUGAGCAACAGGAUGAGUCUUCUAGAGUGUUGUCUCAAAAUGAUUCAAUUGCUCAGGUUUUCGAAAAAGAGAAACCGAGUAGAGUAUGUGGUGUGGGUUUCGGACCGAUUCCUAGUCAACUCUUUAGUCCGAAUUCACAUGCACCAGACAAUGGAGUCCAACUAUAAGAGACACAAAGGAAGCUGCUUGAACUAUAGGCAGAGCUGGCAGGCGAGAAGUUGAAGAGGAAGGCGAUAGAGGAUGAGGCAGCAGCAGAGAAGAAAAAGAAGCAUGUGAUGGAGAGUGCUCUAAUUUAUCUAUUUCAACGGUAGGGUGAGGAGCUGUCACCAGACAUCGCUGCAGGGAUGAGAUCCGUGGAAUGAUAGAGUGAAAAUUAGUAUAUUAGGAUUGGAGAUAUUUUGGAUUGAAGCAAACAUUUUUUUUGAAUUAGACUAUGCAACUCUUUGCACGAGAUUUGUUUUCUUCGUAUUUUUAUGAAUAUAUUAUUUUGU